GGGAGGGAGAGAAAGAGGGAGAGAGAAGGCGGAGACGGGGAUCAGCUGCGCUGGGAGCAGGAAGCUGAGCAGGACCGGGAGCCGCCGACGCCGCCGUCACCGCCUGGAGCCCGGCGCCUGCCCUUCUUCCCGCUGGGCAGCAGCUCUGUCCUUCCUUUUCUCCCUCCCCGGGCGCCCCGGUUUCGGGACAUCCCGGCCGCUGCCACCGCCGCGGCUUACCUGCUUCCCCAUCCAGGAGAGAAGGGGAGAAAGAAGAGGGACACUGCCGGCUCGGGACAGAAGACUGAAGGGCUGGGACGGAAGGCAAGCGGCUUGCUCGGUAGCUGUGGGUCCGGCCUGUGAACUGGCUAGGUGGUGAAGGUGGAGAGGUGAUGAAGACGAGCCGGGCUCCUGCCCAUUCUACGGGAACCACCUGCCGUGUCCGCCUCAGGGGUUGUUUCUGACGCUUUCAGUAAAAGGGAGAGACAGGGAAGAAAAAAAAAAAA
Gracilinanus agilis (Agile Gracile Mouse Opossum) is the source of this 485-nucleotide long non-coding RNA. RefSeq lists it as uncharacterized. The record is from RefSeq and is a predicted model, not a curated record. NCBI's taxonomy places the organism in Eukaryota, Metazoa, Chordata, Mammalia, Didelphimorphia, Didelphidae. The transcript is spliced from 2 exons.